This 327-nucleotide small RNA is filed under the name Drosophila mojavensis. Its description in RNAcentral is "GI26696". Lineage: Eukaryota; Metazoa; Arthropoda; Insecta; Diptera; Drosophilidae. The record is from RNAcentral.
GAGAACGUGAGGAGAAAACUUUUCUCAACUAUUCUUAUUUGUCAGACUACUCUCACCAAGAAGCGCAUCUAAAAUGUCGAACUCUUCUGGGCAAAAGAAGACAAGUGGAAUAGCUUGUGGCGACGUAUGUCAUGAUAAAAUGUUCAGGUAUAUAGCAUACGUAUUUCGUGCGGUCACGCAAUUGAAUAUCGUAUGCAUCGUUCACGUGCCCAGGCGUAACUAUGUCUUACUCUUUGCAACUGCAUUGGCUUAACAGGCGAAGCAGCCGGUCUUCACUGGCUGAUCACUACAAAGUCUAAAAAGCAAGAAUAAAGAUAAUAUUGAAUU